RNAcentral lists this transfer RNA (58 nucleotides) under Ictidomys tridecemlineatus (thirteen-lined ground squirrel). RNAcentral describes it as "Spermophilus tridecemlineatus (thirteen-lined ground squirrel) tRNA". It matches the Rfam family "tRNA", at positions 8 to 63 of the family's 71-position model. Rfam says of the family: Transfer RNA (tRNA) molecules are approximately 80 nucleotides in length. Their secondary structure includes four short double-helical elements and three loops (D, anti-codon, and T loops). Lineage: Eukaryota; Metazoa; Chordata; Mammalia; Rodentia; Sciuridae. The record is from Rfam by way of RNAcentral.
UAGCUCAGUUGGUAGAGUGCUUGCCUUGCAUGCUCGAGGCCCUGGGUUCAAUCCCCAG